UGAGCUUCUGUUACAUUUAUAUACUUGAGUAUAUUAUAUAUGUGAUUAAAAUGAAAUAAAAUUAUAUUUAUAUUGAAUAUAAUUGCUUUUGAUCCUGCAUGAUAAUUUAAAUUUGAAUAAUUAAAUAUUUUGUCUAAAAUAUAAUGAAAAAAAUAUAUUUAUUAACGUGUCCCUCCUAUGUCCCAUGUCCGUGUCUAUGCUUCAUAGGUAACAACAUAAAGAAAUAAAAACACUUCAAACAUUCAACAAGAACAAGUAGCCAAUUACAUUGUUGGCUACCAUGAUUAACAUAGACACAAGGAAUAAUACAAUCAACAACACAAAAUUAUGAGAAUAUCAAAAUAAUAAUACUUUUAACCAAGUGAAUCCACAAUACAUCAUAUGCUUACCAGGAAUAAACAUUCCUUCAAUACUUAUUACAAUCUUAUAAUUUUUUAAUCAGAACUUCCUUUUGCAAAGUUCUUUUUUUAUUCACUUCACAAUCCCUUAACUUGGAAGCCACUUCUAACAAAUUUAAUAUAAUAUAACAGAAGACUUGAGCAAUGGAGCUCUAUUUUGGUUACAUAUCACAUCCACAUUAACUAUUUUUUGGGAGCUUAUUCUAGGUGAUUGAAAAUAUAGACAUGACCUAUGACAAUCGUGUAAUCUCAGGCUCUCUAGGUCUCCUUUUUACAGCAGUUUGAUUCAUGGAUGAUUCAUACCCAAAGGGUACAACUAUUCUGUCUUAACUUUUAUCACCAAGAAAGAAUCAUCAAGAUCAACCUACCCUGUGCUAUUCAGAAAUUAGAUAAGGAAAUAAAAGGAAGAAGAAAAUGUAUCGCUUACCUUAACAAACCCAGUUCGG
RNAcentral lists this unclassified non-coding RNA (844 nucleotides) under Hevea brasiliensis (rubber tree). The record is from RNAcentral. Lineage: Eukaryota; Viridiplantae; Streptophyta; Magnoliopsida; Malpighiales; Euphorbiaceae.